GGUGGAUUUAUGGUGCGGUUGAAUUUCCUGCAAGUUGUAUGGUUAUCUAAUUUCUAUUUACAUGGUUGUGUUGUUGUCUCGUUGUCAACCAUUGCUUUGCGAGUUUUCGUAUCCUUUUGUCAUCUGUUUUUUGCCUUCACAUUCCCUUUUGCUCGUAGAAGUGAAAAGUUGCAUAUGUUCUGGUUGGGGACUGUUCAGAUAGGGC
This 205-nucleotide long non-coding RNA is filed under the name Trifolium pratense (red clover). RNAcentral describes it as "long non-coding RNA (TPRA_LNC004630)". The record is from RNAcentral. Lineage: Eukaryota; Viridiplantae; Streptophyta; Magnoliopsida; Fabales; Fabaceae.